CCUACGGGUGGCAGCAGUGAGGAAUAUUGGUCAAUGGGCGUAAGCCUGAACCAGCGAAGUCGCGUGAGCGAUGAAGGUUCUCUGGAUCGUAAGCCUUUUUUAUAAGGGAAUAAAGUGUGGUACGUGUCCUAUAUUGUCUGUCCCUUAUGAAUCAGGACCGGCUAACUCCGUGCCAGCAGCAGCGGUAAUACGGAGGUACCGGGCGUAAUCCGGAUUUAUUGGGUUUAAGGGGUGCGUAGGCGGCGGUUUAAGUCAGCGGUGAAAGCCUGUGGCUCAACCAUAGAACUGCAGUUGAAACUGGGAGGCUUGAGUAUGUUUGAGGCAGGCGGAAUGCGUGGUGUAGCGGUGAAAUGCGUAGAUAUCAGGAAGAACCCCGAUGGCGAAGGCAGCCUGCUAAGCCAUGACUGACGCUGAUGCACGAAAGCGUGGGGAGCAAACAGGAUUAGAUACCCUAGUAGUC
This 460-nucleotide ribosomal RNA is filed under the name uncultured bacterium. Its description in RNAcentral is "partial 16S ribosomal RNA". It matches the Rfam family "Bacterial small subunit ribosomal RNA", at positions 338 to 795 of the family's 1533-position model. The record is from RNAcentral.